UGUCCCCUGGCAGAUAACAAUAACUGCCAUAAUCCUGUUCCACUCCCUGUAGCGGAUUCCACGCGGCUCCACCUCCCCCUGCGACAGCUAUGAUGCUGCUCCGCUCCCUGCGGCAGGUGCUGCACGAUCCCACUACUCGCUGACAACUAGCAGUAACGGACGCCACCCCGCUACCUGCAGCAGGCCCUAUGUGGCGGGAUAUGAUGAUGGCCACGUGUCUGCUCCAUUAUCUUUCGCAAUCAAUUCUCCUGACCAUGGGCGGCCCACUACCAGGC
Molecule: long non-coding RNA, 275 nt
Filed under: Elaeis guineensis (African oil palm)
Lineage: Eukaryota; Viridiplantae; Streptophyta; Magnoliopsida; Arecales; Arecaceae
Description: long non-coding RNA (EGUI_LNC036223)
Source: RNAcentral